UAUGUGAUCGUCUCUCGCAUAUCAAUAAGCGGAGGAAAAGAAACUAACAAGGAUUCCCCUAGUAACGGCGAGUGAAGCGGGAAGAGCUCAAAUUUGAAAUCUUAAAGGGUUUCCCUUUACGAAUUGUAGUUUAAAGAAGUGUUUUCUGUUGAGGUUUUGGUAAAAGUUCUUUGGAAUAGGACAUCAUAGAGGGUGAGAAUCCCGUAUUUGACCUUUACUUUCAACUUUGUGAUACACUUUCAAAGAGUCGGAUUGUUUGGGAAUGCAGUCCAAAAUGGGUGGUAAAUUUCAUCUAAAGCUAAAUAUUGGCGAGAGACCGAUAGCGAACAAGUACCGUGAGGGAAAGAUGAAAAGAACCUUUGAAAAGAGAGUUAAACAGUACGUGAAAUUGUCAAAAGGGAAGCGUUUGACACCAGUGUUGUUUUUCUGAAAAUCAAUUAAAGAACUGUUUAUGCUAAGCUGUUUAGACUUUAUCAGCUAUCUGUUUAGUUUUGAGCUUUUCUUUAAUGCACUUUUCAGUUAACAAGUCAACAUCAAUUUCUUUUGCUGUAAAAAAGCUUGAGGAAGGUGGCUUGAGAUUCGUCUUAAGUGUUUAUAGCCUCUUGCCUAUGCAGUCGGAGAGAUUGAGGUCUGCAGCGUAGAUCCUUCGGGGCUAAAUGCAUUUGUGCUAAGUUAUAGCAUUUUAUAGACAACUUGUUGACUAUGAUUUGUCUUGUAGCUUACUCGCUUAUGUUAUUUUACCUACGCUUAGGAUGUUGAGCGCAUGUCUCUCUCU
RNAcentral lists this ribosomal RNA (775 nucleotides) under uncultured Neocallimastigales. Its description in RNAcentral is "partial large subunit ribosomal RNA". It matches the Rfam family "Eukaryotic large subunit ribosomal RNA", at positions 24 to 616 of the family's 3401-position model. The record is from RNAcentral. Lineage: Eukaryota; Fungi; Neocallimastigomycota; Neocallimastigomycetes; Neocallimastigales.